UACAGAGGUCUCAAGCGUUGUUCGGAUUCAUUGGGCGUAAAGGGUGCGUAGGUGGCGCCGUAAGUCAGGUGUGAAAUUUCGGAGCUUAACUCCGAAACUGCAUUUGAUACUGCGGUGCUUGAGGACUGGAGAGGAGACUGGAAUUCACGGUGUAGCAGUGAAAUGCGUAGAUAUCGUGAGGAAGACCAGCGGCGAAGGCGGGUCUCUGGACAGUUCCUGACACUGAGGCACGAAGGCCAGGGGAGCGAACGGG
This 253-nucleotide ribosomal RNA is filed under the name uncultured bacterium. RNAcentral's name for it is "partial 16S ribosomal RNA". It matches the Rfam family "Bacterial small subunit ribosomal RNA", at positions 524 to 776 of the family's 1533-position model. The record is from RNAcentral.